CCCUUAGAUGUCCUGGGCCGCACGCGCGCUACACUGAGUGUCUGAGAUACGAGUCUGCCUGGUCCGGCAAGGUCUAGGUAAUCGCUAAAAGACACAUCAUGCUUGGGAUAGAUUAUUGCAAAUAUUAAUCUUGAACGAGGAAUUCCUAGUAAAGGCAAGUCAUCAUCUUGCUUUGAUUACGUCCCUGCCCUUUGUACACACCGCCCGUCGCUACUACCGAUUGAAUGGUUUAAUGAGAUCUUCGGAUUGGCUUCCUUGGUACCCUAACAGGUCCAAGGUUAGUCGAAAAGUUGCUCAAAUUUGAUCAUUUAGAGGAAGUAAAAGUCGUAACA
RNAcentral lists this ribosomal RNA (332 nucleotides) under uncultured eukaryote. RNAcentral's name for it is "partial 18S ribosomal RNA". It matches the Rfam family "Eukaryotic small subunit ribosomal RNA", at positions 1470 to 1796 of the family's 1831-position model. The record is from RNAcentral.